GCUGAUAUUCGGAUCUAGGGUUAGGCAAAACCCCGCGGGGUUUAGAGGGGUUUUGAGCUCAUCAACGGGGUUUCAAAGGCUUUGACUAAGCAUAAAUAAUUUAGAAAAAAUGAAAAAAUAUGAAACCUUCGCCGUUCGUCAUUUUAUAGGACAUACUAAUGAGGAAAAAUACUAAACUUGGUAUACGUACAUUUAGGGAAAAAACCUAGCUAGCACGAUUGAGGUAAAAUGAGCACCAUUAAUUAAAAAAAACAGAAAAAUAUAAA
Molecule: long non-coding RNA, 266 nt
Filed under: Hordeum vulgare
Lineage: Eukaryota; Viridiplantae; Streptophyta; Magnoliopsida; Poales; Poaceae
Description: long non-coding RNA (HVUL_LNC019380)
Source: RNAcentral